AGCCCCAUAGUUCAAGGGAUAGAACGUUGGUUUCCUAAACCGAAAAUGCAAGUUCGAGUCUUGCUGGGGCUACUA
Molecule: transfer RNA, 75 nt
Filed under: Neolewinella marina
Lineage: Bacteria; Pseudomonadati; Bacteroidota; Saprospiria; Saprospirales; Lewinellaceae
Description: Lewinella marina tRNA-Arg
Rfam family: tRNA
About the family: Transfer RNA (tRNA) molecules are approximately 80 nucleotides in length. Their secondary structure includes four short double-helical elements and three loops (D, anti-codon, and T loops).
Source: RNAcentral